GAUGAAUGCUAGCUACAGGCUUAACACAUGCAAGUCGAGGGGAAACGACAUCGAAAGCUUGCUUUUGGUGGGCGUCGACCGGCGCACGGGUGAGUAACGCGUAUCCAACCUUCCCAUGUCCACGGGAUAGCCCGUCGAAAGGCGGAUUAAUACCGUAUGAGGUCACAUGCGGGCAUCUAAGUGUGACGAAAGGUUUUGCGGACAUGGAUGGGGAUGCGUCCGAUUAGCUGGUUGGCGGGGUAACGGCCCACCAAGGCGACGAUCGGUAGGGGUUCUGAGAGGAAGGUCCCCCCACAUUGGAACUGAGACACGGUCCAAACCU
RNAcentral lists this ribosomal RNA (322 nucleotides) under uncultured bacterium. RNAcentral describes it as "bacterial SSU rRNA". It matches the Rfam family "Bacterial small subunit ribosomal RNA", at positions 28 to 338 of the family's 1533-position model. The record is from RNAcentral.